Stegostoma tigrinum is the source of this 2666-nucleotide long non-coding RNA. RefSeq lists it as uncharacterized. The record is from RefSeq and is a predicted model, not a curated record. The transcript has 2 exons. Lineage: Eukaryota; Metazoa; Chordata; Chondrichthyes; Orectolobiformes; Stegostomatidae.
GCCCUGAUUUCUUAUUGGCAUUCACUCAAGGUCACCACCUCCGCUGCUGAAAGCGCUCGGUCUUUUUUUUCACUCUAUUACAUGCUACAUUUGAACAGUUCUGUCAUCUCCCCCCGCCGGGGACCAGUCUUGAAGUUUUCACACGCAAGUACUCGGCCGAAUCUUCCGCAGUACUGCAUCAUCAACAAAUUAAAGGUUAAUGAUCCAACUGAGCUACCGUCCGUCCUGGCAAAAACUCGGAACUUGUAUACAGCAACAGAACACUUUUUUAAAAGAAAAAAAAAGGGUAUCGGUUCAGAAUAACCUGGUCAUUCACAUUGCACGCCAUUUUAGUGUAAUUUUGUUGCGAACCGAGAAAGGAGCCAUCCAUUAAAAAGCUUUGCACAAGAGCUGCGCUAUUGCUUUUUCUCCUCCAAAACAGAGCAGAAAUUUCAAAAACAAGCGGUGAAAUACUGCGUAAUCACUUACUUGACAGGUCUCGGUGCUGUCCGCACUGCUAUCGCUUGGAGAAGGAACGAACGGCCGCAAUCCCGGCUGCGGGAGUUGACAUGUUCCGCUGCUGCUGACGCCUCUCCGGGCUGAGAGAGCCGGAGUUCCGCUGGGUGUUUUUCUCUCCGUCCAAAGGCGAGUCAUGUCUGCUUGAAACCGGACUCCCUGCGCUCUCUCGGUCGCCUGCGAACGCGUACAGUCCUCUUCAUAUAACCACGGAGGAUAUGCAAACCCUGCAACAAGAAAAGUCGUUUAUGGAAAAAAAUUCUAAAAGGCUGAACGUUUUAAAGAAAGAAUGGUUGCAGAACAACAAAAGUCAGUUACACUACGCUGCUCUAUACCCCCACCGACAGACAGAAGAAAAAGCUUUAUAUUUUUUCAGGCCAACAAAAGCUGCCGUGAGGUAAUGGUUUCGCUGUUUAUUGAAACCAUGGAAGAGGGGCUGGAUAAAGGAUAGAAAAAGACGUUACAAGGUCACACGAAAACUCUUUAUCUGAAUAAAAUAUUAUUUAAAGGCAAACACUACUCUUAACUGCACCUAAGGGCUCCAUGUCAAUAAAACGAUUACUUCCUUCCAGUUUGUUAUGUGUUAAAUCAUAUGUCUAUAAAGUUACAAAAGAGCAUCGUGUUUAAUACUGCAUUCAGUCAAAUAUUUCAAACAAAUACAAAAAAAACUGCACAACACACUAAUUCCCUCUUGUUCUUUCGAUUAUUGGUCAUAAAAUUUAAAGGAAAGUAAUUUCCACUGCAAAAAAUGUGAAACAAAGUUACACAACACAAAUGGUUCCCAUAAGGUAUAAUUCCCAUCUAUGCAAUAUUCAUAGCUUGUCUAGCCAAAUUGUCAAAUUUCAUUUAAAAAAUUCCAAUCAGCAUAAUAGCAACAUUCAGUCCUCGUCAAACAGCCGCUAAAGGUGGGUACCGAGGACUUUGUCUUGAACCAUGCAUCACUUUAAACAAUGCAUGGCUAUAAAUUAACUGGACAAAAAGUUGUUACUAUCUGAUUUCUCAUCCACCUUUAAUGGUUCUUAAACUCUAAUUAAAAUGCCUAUCGACACACCAACUAUAUUGUUCAAGGAAGGACUAAAUAUAUUUCGUGUCAUGCGGAUUCAGCAUCAAUUUAGUCUGUCUGACAUCUAGGCCAUGUAUUUGGCUUGAGUUGAGGUCUUUAUCGGCUUUGAGAGCGAGCUCCUCAGAAAGGGAAAGUCGGAAACAAUGGCUCUCUGCAGGGAAAGUUGUUAGUCACUGACUCCCUGUUUGUCUACCUUUCUCUAGGAAUUACUAGCUCAUUCUCUCCCAGUUCCAGACUGACAGUAAUCCACUCCAAUGACUUCUGCCUUUUGUGUGUUUAUAGUACAUGUCUCAACCAUAAUCUCAAAGCUACAAUUACAAUAGGAUGUCAUGACUUUAACCUUAACACUACUUCCUUUAAUUAACCUUUAGGGUGCAGGAGAGCAGCCUGUGUGGUAGAAAGUUGGUUUGUCAAAUCGGUGAAUUAUUUGUGGCUUUGGAGGUACAAACGGGCUCCAAUGGGAUACAAUUUUUUGCAAUUUGUUUGCUACACAUUAGAAUUAGUGGAGUUUUUCACAAGUCAGUUAAUAAAUCGCUUUUGAUCUCAAAGAACCGAAAUUAACUUGUGAACCUGUUACUAAUAGAUUCUGAAUGUUUUCACUAUCUCCGUAAUAUUAACUGAAUGGAUGAGAAUCAGCAUAUAAAUUCCCAAUGGCCACUCUAUUUUAAAAAGCUAUUUUAAAAAGAUGUUUACUGAUAUUAAUAGGCUCCUAUCUUAUCUCUAGACAUGAGAUUUUGUACAUUAUGUAUACAGUUGUUAUUUUACAAUCGUAAUGACAUAUAACUUAAUCCGAGGCGAUUUCAUUCUUGUAACCUAUAACAAACCGUCUUAGACGUCAAUGAAAAUGUUUCGUGCGUUAGAAAAUCAAUUUUCAAUUACCAACAUCUCUUUAUGCGUGUACAAUGGAGAAUGUCUGAAGAAAUGUUUUCUGUCCCAACUGUUCCUGCUUUGAUUUCCUUACUGAAAUAGACACUCUACCCUAACCUACAAGUUUACCUGUUUUAUCACUCGAAAAAAUCUAGGCAUCAUUAGAUGUUCAAAGGCAAUUUUUGUUCUAUCAAUGCUCUGUAUAAAUUUUAAUUAAAAAUGUAAGUGCCGUUGACAGACA